GACCUAAUAGUGGAGUGGUUACCACACCUGCUCAGAUUAGCUCGGUCUGGUAUCACGGUUCCCUGCAGGAGGCCCCCGUUCGAUUCGGGGUUAGGUCU
This is a non-coding RNA of Mycena latifolia, 98 nucleotides long. NCBI's taxonomy places the organism in Eukaryota, Fungi, Basidiomycota, Agaricomycetes, Agaricales, Mycenaceae. The record is from the annotation of a GenBank genome assembly.